AUACAAUGAUGACGACACUCGAGUAUGUAGUCUUGAAAGCGCUCCCAAGCUUCUAGGACUGUCUCAUUAUGUUGUUGCUGAAACCUCGAUAUCUUCCCACGCAGAGC
RNAcentral lists this small nucleolar RNA (107 nucleotides) under Sorghum bicolor (sorghum). RNAcentral describes it as "Plant small nucleolar RNA R71". It matches the Rfam family "Plant small nucleolar RNA R71". Rfam says of the family: R71 is a member of the C/D box family of snoRNAs containing the C (UGAUGA) and D (CUGA) box motifs. Multiple nearly identical copies of this snoRNA have been identified in Arabidopsis, and it is thought to function as a 2'-O-ribose methylation guide for 18S ribosomal RNA. The record is from Rfam by way of RNAcentral. Lineage: Eukaryota; Viridiplantae; Streptophyta; Magnoliopsida; Poales; Poaceae.